Aedes aegypti (yellow fever mosquito) is the source of this 1369-nucleotide long non-coding RNA. RefSeq lists it as uncharacterized. The record is from RefSeq and is a predicted model, not a curated record. The transcript is spliced from 4 exons. Lineage: Eukaryota; Metazoa; Arthropoda; Insecta; Diptera; Culicidae.
GAAAACGCACCCAAACUAACUCCAUAACACUGUGAUUCGACGGUUUUCCCGGCGACCAGGACAAGGCGGCGGAUGGAAGUUUUGCGCGAGUCGGCUUAAUCCAAUUAAAUCGCACUGAACCUCCCACUCGUAUCGGCGGCAGCAAUCCGUUUUUUCCGGAACAACAAGGCACCGAUUUCUUCGCUCACGAGUUGCAAUCAUCACCUGGCAUCAUCAUUAUCAUCCUCCUCCGCCCGGGGAAGCAGCAUUUGAUUCGACCACACCCCGAUAGACCAAUAGGUCCACCUGAACGCGACUCACCUUGUUAAGCGCAGCACUACUACGGAAUACAGUCAGACAACGUCCAUUUUCGAGCUUGUUUAUGGGACUAAUAAAUGGAAUCCGUUGUCUAGCUGCUGCUGCUGAUGCUGUCGCUGCAGAUGUUGCCGCUUUUUCCCAGUCCAUGUCCAGGACUUCAGCAGCAAUAGUGUCCAGAUUCUUUAUUGGCGCUCGUUAAGUGGACAUAAACAGCGGAGCUUUCGAAAACGGUGGACACAGGGAGCGACGAAGGUUGGAAUCCCAAUAAUGAAGUGGCACCGGUUCUAUCGAAGGUCCUACUCCUAGAUUGGAACACUUCAGACUGGUAUCGAAUAAACGGAUGGAAUAGAGUGGCCUGGGAAAAGUAGAACGAGAAACGCUGCAAUGGGUUAGGACACCGAAAUGGGUGGAAUGCAAUCUAGUCGGGACACUCCGGAUGUGUACUGGCAGCCGUCGUUAUUUCGCAAUUAUGUGCAAGCCAUUGCGAUAAAUUCUCCGCUUCUUUUGCACUUCUCACAGUUGUAGUCAAUAUAGUAUUGAGUAAGUAGAGUACAUUCGAGGGAAAUGGAAGAAACGCCAAAUCAACAUUAGUCUAGAAGAGCGAACGGAACAAAUAGCUGCAAAACGGGGCCAUCGAAACAGUCCUUCGUGACACAUCGUUCUUAAAUAAAAAAGAAAAAAAUUCGGAAAAACAAUUUAGAAUAACACUUUGAACCGAGAAAACCUGACUGACGUGCACCGAAACCACCCACCCCCUCGUAGAAUCAUGACCAAAAAACGAUUUCCGAGAAAAUGAGCAAACGGAAAAAGAAAAACUUUUCCCGCCUUCUGCGAUCCCAUUCCAUCCAAGUGAGCCGGAACGAAACAUAACCCGCAAAGAUCCAAGAGUGCUUUGAAAAGUGCAAUCGAACGGUGAAAGACUGGCUGGGAAAGGGACUACUAGGUAUAGUUUCUGCGAGAGGGAGUAAAAAGGGCGCGGUUGGUAACCCUAGAGUUGAUUGAGUGCCGGUCAGUUAGCAGUAACAGCAAAAGAAAACUUGUGCGGUUAGCACCGCUUUUCUAUUCAGAAAAG